UGGGGAAUAUUGGACAAUGGGCGCAAGCCUGAUCCAGCCAUGCCGCGUGUGUGAAGAAGGCCUUUUGGUUGUAAAGCACUUUAAGCGAGGAGGAGGCUACCUGGAUUAAUACUCUAGGAUAGUGGACGUUACUCGCAGAAUAAGCACCGGCUAACUCUGUGCCAGCAGCCGCGGUAAUACAGAGGGUGCGAGCGUUAAUCGGAUUUACUGGGCGUAAAGCGUGCGUAGGCGGCUUUUUAAGUCGGAUGUGAAAUCCCUGAGCUUAACUUAGGAAUUGCAUUCGAUACUGGGAAGCUAGAGUAUGGGAGAGGAUGGUAGAAUUCCAGGUGUAGCGGUGAAAUGCGUAGAGAUCUGGAGGAAUACCGAUGGCGAAGGCAGCCAUCUGGCCUAAUACUGACGCUGAGGUACGAAAGCAUGGGGAGCAAACAGG
This 430-nucleotide ribosomal RNA is filed under the name bacterium. RNAcentral's name for it is "partial 16S ribosomal RNA". It matches the Rfam family "Bacterial small subunit ribosomal RNA", at positions 355 to 776 of the family's 1533-position model. RNAcentral also lists the same sequence under 2 other names. The record is from RNAcentral.